Pongo pygmaeus (Bornean orangutan) is the source of this 117-nucleotide small nuclear RNA. RefSeq annotates it as U5 spliceosomal RNA. The record is from RefSeq and is a predicted model, not a curated record. NCBI's taxonomy places the organism in Eukaryota, Metazoa, Chordata, Mammalia, Primates, Hominidae. The transcript has a single exon.
AUACUCUGGUUUCUCUUCAAUUCGUAUAAAUCUUUCGCCUUUUACUAAAGAUUUCCGUGGAGAGGAACAGUUGUGAGUCUUUGCUUAAUUUUUUGAGGUCUCGUAUUUCACGAGGCU